CACGGGGGUUGGAGGGCAAGUCUGGUGCCAGCAGCCGCGGUAAUUCCAGCUCCAAUAGCGUAUAUUAAAGUUGUUGCAGUUAAAAAGCUCGUAGUUGAAUUUCGGGAUCGAAUUGUUGGUCGUGCUUCGGUACGUACUGGCAUUAUUGGUUCCUACCUUCUGAAGAACCGCGAUGUCAUUAAUUUGGUGUCGUGGGGAAUCAGGACUGUUACUUUGAAAAAAUUAGAGUGUUUAAAGCAGGCGCACGCUUGAAUACAUUAGCAUGGAAUAAUGAAAUAGGACGUUUGAUUCUAUUUUGUUGGUUUCUAGGAUCGACGUAAUGAUUAAUAGGGAUAGUUGGGGGCAUUAGUAUUCAAUUGUCAGAGGUGAAAUUCUUGGAUUUAUUGAAGACUAACUACUGCGAAAGCAUUUGCCAAGGAUGUUUUCAUUAAUCAAGAACGAAAGUUAGGGGAUCGAAGACGAUCAGAUACCGUCGUA
Molecule: ribosomal RNA, 477 nt
Filed under: uncultured Glomus
Lineage: Eukaryota; Fungi; Glomeromycota; Glomeromycetes; Glomerales; Glomeraceae
Description: SSU rRNA
Rfam family: Eukaryotic small subunit ribosomal RNA
Source: RNAcentral